AUUGAACGCUGGCGGCAGGCCUAACACAUGCAAGUCGAGCGGAUGAAGGGAGCUUGCUCCUGGAUUCAGCGGCGGACGGGUGAGUAAUGCCUAGGAAUCUGCCUGGUAGUGGGGGAUAACGUCCGGAAACGGGCGCUGAUACCGCAUACGUCCUGAGGGAGAAAGUGGGGGAUCUUCGGACCUCACGCUAUCAGAUGAGCCUAGGUCGGAUUAGCUAGUUGGUGGGGUAAAGGCCUACCAAGGCGACGAUCCGUAACUGGUCUGAGAGGAUGAUCAGUCACACUGGAACUGAGACACGGUCCAGACUCCUACGGGAGGCGGCAGUGGGGAAUAUUGGACAAUGGGCGAAAGCCUGAUCCAGCCAUGCCGCGUGUGUGAAGAAGGUCUUCGGAUUGUAAAGCACUUUAAGUUGGGAGGAAGGGCAGUAAGUUAAUACCUUGCUGUUUUGACGUUACCAACAGAAUAAGCACCGGCUAACUUCGUG
This 484-nucleotide ribosomal RNA is filed under the name uncultured bacterium. RNAcentral's name for it is "partial 16S ribosomal RNA". It matches the Rfam family "Bacterial small subunit ribosomal RNA", at positions 30 to 507 of the family's 1533-position model. The record is from RNAcentral.